RNAcentral lists this ribosomal RNA (253 nucleotides) under uncultured bacterium. Its description in RNAcentral is "partial 16S ribosomal RNA". It matches the Rfam family "Bacterial small subunit ribosomal RNA", at positions 524 to 776 of the family's 1533-position model. The record is from RNAcentral.
CACGUAGGGUGCAAGCGUUGUCCGGAAUCAUUGGGCGUAAAGAGCUCGUAGGCGGCUUAGUAAGUCGGGUGUGAAAACCCGGGGCUCAACUCCGGGCCUGCAGCCGAUACGGGCAGACUAGAGUUCGGCAGGGGAGACUGGAAUUCCUGGUGUAGCGGUGAAAUGCGCAGAUAUCAGGAGGAACACCGGUGGCGAAGGCGGGUCUCUGGGCCGAUACUGACGCUGAGGAGCGAAAGCGUGGGGAGCGAACAGG